Aegilops tauschii subsp. strangulata is the source of this 1013-nucleotide non-coding RNA. Lineage: Eukaryota; Viridiplantae; Streptophyta; Magnoliopsida; Poales; Poaceae. The record is from RefSeq and is a predicted model, not a curated record.
UACAAAGAAGAGCUAAGACACUCGCAUGGGUGCUCAAGGAAAUACACCAGAUUGAGCGAGGUUAGAUUAAAGUUUCUUCAUUCUUCACUAGCUUUUCUUUUGUCUUUAGGUAUUUCAGAUAAGUAUCGUAUGCUGCCUACAACAUGUAAGGGAAGCCAAAAAUGAUUACAAAAUAUUUAUGCUUCUUCAUAGUUGUCCAUUUGGUUCUAAACUUUGUUGAGUGGCAGACAUAUUUUACAUUAAUUAAUAAAUAAUGUUGCUACACACGUGAGUUGGUUUGCAAUGAAGUGGGCAGGUAGACAUGUUUUUGUUGAAUAAAUAUUUUUCAUAAAUACGGGGGCAUGAAGAUAAUCUAUUCUUUCUUUACUCCAUAGACAAUGGGACAAUGUUCUUUUUGUGUUUCAGAGUAAAAAAACAGACUCUAAUCUGAAUCUAACGAGUAAAAAAAUAUCGUUGUGUUUCAGAGUGUUACACAAUUUAUCAACAAGAGCAAAGACUCUAAUCUGAUGAUGUAGGACAGCUUUAAUGUGACAGAGGAUCAUGGUGGUCGAUGGAUUGUGCACCCGGUAGUGGACUAAGAAAGGAACAUUAUUUAUGGAACACAAUGAUAUUCAGAGCAGCCCUGCACUAUGUGAGAUUUAGAAGUUGGUACUGCCGGCGGAUGCAUCCAUCUGCUAAUCUCCUGGCACCGCGUAGACGGAGCCAAACGAGUUGGGGCCUCCAGCCGGCUGGUAGUGGACAACAACACCGGGUUUGUUAAUUACUCAACAAGUCACAGAUUGAUCUCUUUUUUGAUUGGUUUGGUGUGGAUUAUCAGGCCUGCCGCGCAAUCAUAGAUUUAUCUUUUGCUUUAUGUGGGUGGACAGAAACACCCUUUCUAAAGUUUUGUAGGUAUUGUAAUGAAGCACAGUAACACACUCCAGCAUUCAUUCUUUGCUUGAUAUUAGCAAACAAUGUAAAAUAACCAAGCUCACAACAUUCUAAAGCGGUCUAUUAGCUACUUCAGCAGACAA